GCUUCGUAGCGCAGUGGACUAGCGUUGGUGUUAUCGCCCACCGCACUUGGGUUCGAAUCCCGGCGAAGGCG
Molecule: non-coding RNA, 71 nt
Organism: Artomyces pyxidatus
Lineage: Eukaryota; Fungi; Basidiomycota; Agaricomycetes; Russulales; Auriscalpiaceae
Source: the annotation of a GenBank genome assembly